ACGAACGCUGGCGGCAUGCCUAACACAUGCAAGUCGAACGCCCCGCAAGGGGAGUGGCGGACGGGUGAGUAACGCGUGGGAACCUGCACUUCAGUGGGGGAUAACGACGGGAAACUGUCGCUAAUACCGCAUACGCCCUACGGGGGAAAGAUUUAUCGCUGAUGGAUGGGCCCGCGUCGGAUUAGCUAGUUGGUGAGGUAACGGCUCACCAAGGCGACGAUCCGUAGCUGGUCUAGGAGGAUGAUCAGCCACACUGGGACUGAGACACGGCCCAGACUCCUACGGGAGGCAGCAGUGGGGAAUAUUGGACAAUGGGCGAAAGCCUGAUCCAGCAAUGCCGCGUGAGUGAUGAAGGCCUUAGGGUUGUAAAGCUCUUUUACCAGGGAAGAUGAUGACUGUACCUGGAGAAUAAGCCCCGGCUAACUCCGU
RNAcentral lists this ribosomal RNA (429 nucleotides) under uncultured bacterium. RNAcentral's name for it is "bacterial SSU rRNA". It matches the Rfam family "Bacterial small subunit ribosomal RNA", at positions 29 to 506 of the family's 1533-position model. The record is from RNAcentral.